GGGUGUAUAGCUCCAACGGUAGAGCGUUCGAUUCCAAAUCGACAGGUUGGGGGUUCGAAUCCCUCUGCGCCCGCCA
This 76-nucleotide transfer RNA is filed under the name Bacteriovoracaceae bacterium. RNAcentral describes it as "tRNA-Trp". It matches the Rfam family "tRNA". Rfam says of the family: Transfer RNA (tRNA) molecules are approximately 80 nucleotides in length. Their secondary structure includes four short double-helical elements and three loops (D, anti-codon, and T loops). Further hydrogen bonds mediate the characteristic L-shaped molecular structure. tRNAs have two regions of fundamental functional importance: the anti-codon, which is responsible for specific mRNA codon recognition, and the 3' end, to which the tRNAs corresponding amino acid is attached (by aminoacyl-tRNA synthetases). tRNAs cope with the degeneracy of the genetic code in two manners: having more than one tRNA (with a specific anti-codon) for a particular amino acid; and 'wobble' base-pairing, i.e. permitting non-standard base-pairing at the 3rd anti-codon position. The record is from RNAcentral. Lineage: Bacteria; Pseudomonadati; Bdellovibrionota; Bacteriovoracia; Bacteriovoracales; Bacteriovoracaceae.